RNAcentral lists this ribosomal RNA (407 nucleotides) under uncultured bacterium. RNAcentral's name for it is "partial 16S ribosomal RNA". It matches the Rfam family "Bacterial small subunit ribosomal RNA", at positions 28 to 526 of the family's 1533-position model. The record is from RNAcentral.
GACGAACGCUGGCGGCGUGCCUAAUACAUGCAAGUCGAACGCAGUGGCGGACGGGUGAGUAACACGUGGGUAACUACCUAUUAGAGGGGGAUAACUAUUGGAAACGAUAGCUAAUACCGCAUACUAGUAGAUGGAACUGCGUUGUAUUAGCUAGUAGGUAGGGUAAUGGCCUACCUAGGCGACGAUACAUAGCCGACCUUGGAUGGUGAUCGGCCACACGGGGACUGAGACACGGGCCAGACUCCUACGGGAGGCAGCAGUAGGGAAUCUUCGGCAAUGGGGGGAACCCUGACCAAGCAACGCCGCGUGAGUGAAGAAGGUUUUCGGAUCGUAAAGCUCUGUUGUUAAGGAAGCGGUACUUAACCAGAAAGGGACGGCUAACUACGUGCCAGCAGCCGCGGUAAUUC